RNAcentral lists this long non-coding RNA (427 nucleotides) under Chrysolophus pictus (golden pheasant). RNAcentral describes it as "lncRNA (ENSCPIG00010012167.1)". Lineage: Eukaryota; Metazoa; Chordata; Aves; Galliformes; Phasianidae. The record is from RNAcentral.
AUGCAUAAACCCAUCCAAGAUAGACACAAUGCAUCGCAUCCCAAGAAAAUGCUGUUUGGAUCCCUAGAUUUCAUGCUGGGAACUCUGAACCUUCCUACCCUUAAGAUCAGAGAAAAUAUUUUAAGAAAAAUGGAAAAAAGAAAAAACCUAUUGUAAAGGGUUAUGGUGCAUAUUUAAUGAAGGAGCCAAGAGAAGUGCCUGCCAUACAAAGGAACUAAUCAGUCAAUCAAGAAUCAGCUCACCAGACAGAAGCCGUCAGCGCCUAACUUCUCCAUCUCCACCUGUCCAGAGAAACAACAAAACAGCAUGGAACAUGCCUGACAAUUGAGUGCAAAAGAGCACAAGCAUUUCUGUAUUUCUAAGCAUUAAAGGGGCAAGACAUUGUUGCAAAUUAAAAUUUUCAAAAAUAGAAACAACAAACCCAGCA